ACGGGGGGUGCAAGCGUUGUUCGGAAUUAUUGGGCGUAAAGAGCGUGUAGGCGGCCGGAUAUGUCAGAUGUGAAAUCCCUGGGCUUAACCCAGGAAGUGCAUUUGAAACUGGCCAGCUUGAGUAGGGGAGAGGGAAGUAGAAUUCCUGGUGUAGCGGUGAAAUUCGUAGAUAUCAGGAGGAACACCGGUGGCGAAGGCGACUUCCUGGACCUAUACUGACGCUGAGGCGCGAGAGCGUGGGUAGCAAACAG
RNAcentral lists this ribosomal RNA (251 nucleotides) under uncultured prokaryote. RNAcentral's name for it is "partial 16S rRNA". It matches the Rfam family "Bacterial small subunit ribosomal RNA", at positions 525 to 775 of the family's 1533-position model. The record is from RNAcentral.